Long non-coding RNA from Oreochromis niloticus (Nile tilapia), 711 nucleotides. The record is from Ensembl. NCBI's taxonomy places the organism in Eukaryota, Metazoa, Chordata, Actinopteri, Cichliformes, Cichlidae.
AUGAGAUGUAUGCCUCCUUGGUGUUGGCAUACAAUACAGGGAGUGCAGAAUUAUUAGGCAAAUGAGUAUUUUGUCCACAUCAUCCUCUUCAUGCAUGUUGUCUUACUCCAAGCUGUAUAGGGCUUUGGAGUUGACGUCACUGGAGGUGGGCCACGCCCCCUUUCCGCCAUGACAGUAGGCUAGACACAGGAUACAGCUUCAGCUAUGGUUCGUAUGUGUUGUGUUAUCAGUUGCAACGUUUGAUCACACGAUCGUGAAGGCAAGAAGCUGGAUAAUGGGCUCUCUUUUCAUCGUUUUUCAACCUGGAGGCAACGUGAGGGAUCCCAUGUAUCCGAUAUUACUAAACAAAGACGUCAGGCUUGCAUUGCAGCGGUGAGACGAGCGGAUCGAGUUCUGUGCAAUCCCAGCUUUUUGUUGGUUUGGUCUCUGCAUCUUCUUUCCGCGCAUACACAGCAAACCAGUUUAAGAAUUAUAAAUCCCUGGAGGCCCACAUCCAAUUCACGAACGGCUGGGUGCAAGAUUUGUCCAUCUUUAUGCCUCCACGCUGCGAGUACGUUGUCGUUAAGACAAAGGUAAGUCGGUUUGAACUUGAUAACUUUCUAAACAACUUCCUUGUUACAGUUUUUGAUUUGCACGUACAGCCAACCCAUCUAUAUUAGCCUUGGGUCAUUACAGACCUUUUAUUAAAAGUGGUUUUUGUGUGUUUCAGGU